Molecule: long non-coding RNA, 1404 nt
Organism: Lycium barbarum (goji berry)
Lineage: Eukaryota; Viridiplantae; Streptophyta; Magnoliopsida; Solanales; Solanaceae
Exons: 2
Source: RefSeq, a predicted model, not a curated record
UCCUAUUGCUUUCAUAUAUUGUUAAGUAUCUCAUAACAUAAAAUGAUUUUUAAGAUAAAUGUAGAAUUUAAACUAAAAUUAUAGAAUUCUACUGAACUUACGUCCAACACUCUAGCUCUGCACUUAUUUUGAACUUGAAUGCGUCCAGAUAUGUUUAAAUAUAUAUUAUAUAUAAUGUAGGAAUAGAAAAUCAUAGGUAUAAGUGAACUAGGGCAGUAAUAGUUACGAGUUCAGUAAAACUCGAUAAUUUUAGCUCAAACUCUAUAUCCAAAUUAAAAAUUUAUCUAACAUGUACAACUAAUCUAUUCAUAACCUAAUAAGAAAAAAAAUUAAUAUCCUGACACCUCCCUAAUACACCUCCGAUUGGAUACGCCCUGCCAAAAAGAUCAGCCCGAUAGUCCACAAGUAAUGUAGUAGAAUAUAUACGACUUGAUCUUAUCUAACAUCAACGUGUUGCAAGGCAAUCUAAGUUUCAAGAAAAUGAAAACGUGGCUUAGUAAUCUAGUAACCAACACAUAUAACAUCGACACAAGUCAUCACCAUUCUUGUCGAAAGUGUCACAAAAAAAAAAAAAUGCAAUAGAUAUACCUAUCCUUGGCAGCUAUAAAUAAAACAAAGCAGGUGAGAAAAAAAAUUAUUUGCUUACCAAUUUCAUGUGUUUCCAAAGAAAGAAAAAUGGAUUCAUCAAUAGGACCAUGGACAGGAAAUAUUACUGAUCCUUUUUCUUCUGAUUUAUGGGACCCUUUUGAUUAUGGACUGAGUGCUGGAAUGACUUGGCCGGGUCGUAGAGGUGGCCGUGAUGAUGACGUGUCAGCCUUGGUCAUGCUUAUGUUGAUUGGCGUGAAACUGACAAUGCUCAUGUUUUUCGUGUCGACCUUCCUAAGGGUGAGGAAGGAAGAUCUUAAUUUAGGUACAAGUUGAAGAUGGCAACAUACUAGAGAUAAGUGGAGAGAGAGUGAAAGAAGAUGAACAAGUGAACGACAAGUGGCACCGCGUAGAGCGACGUCUUGGGAGUUUUAGAAGGAGGUUCCAGCUGCCGGAAAAUGUAAAUGCAGAUGAGAUCAAGUGUGGGCUUGAACAUGGAGUUUUAACAAUGGAAGUGCCAAAGAAGGAAACACAAGAGGUUACAAGGAAUGUUAGAGCUGUAGAUAUUGCCUGAUACUUAUACUUUAUUUUUGGUUGUGGAAUGUGUAAAUUAAAUAGUAGUAGUUGUAAAGUUACUAUCGUUGUGCAUAGUGGUAUCAAUGCUAGUUUGUAUGGAUAGUUUUGAUGUGUGUAAUACUGAAAUAAAGGCUAGCUGUUGUAUAGUAGUUAGCUGGUGAUUUCUUUUCAUGUGCUUUGAACAAGAAAAAUACACGAGAUGAAUUUCGAUAAUGAAAGAAGUGAAGGCCGAUUUUUAUCUAA